UUAUAACUUCAUAGUAGGCCUUCUUGAGCACAAGUAUAAGUUAAAAUAUAAACAGUUGCAGAAACAACAUUAUAUGAAUGUGAUUAAGUUUUUGACCACAAUGAGCACAAGUGUGCACCGAAUGUGAGGUUGAGGGAGGAGGACGAGGAACUCUUUGAAAUGAAUUAUGUUGAGGCUGGUUCGGAGGGAUAUUGAGGGUAGUGAUCUUGAUACUAGGAGGAGAAUUGUGUGUGAGCUUCUUAAAGGGAUUGUGACCAAUUAUAAGCAACAGGUCACCGAGAUAGUUUCUGCACAGAUUCAGCAUUUGUUAACUUCGUUUGCUGCAAACCCAGUUACAAAUUGGAAGGAUAAGGACUGUGCCAUAUACUUAGUUGUCUCCCUUGCUACUAAGACGGCUGGGGGUAGUUUGGUCUCGACAGAUCUUGUUGAUGUUCAGAGUUUUUUUGCUUCAGUUAUUGUGCCGGAGUUGAAGGGUCAGGAUGUGAAUGGGUUUCCGAUGCUUAAGGCAGGUGCACUGAAAUUCUUUACAAUGUUCAGGAAUCAUUUAUCAAAGGAUGUUAUAGUUCAGAUUUUCCAAGAUUUGGUUCGGUUCCUUGUUGCGGAAUCAAAUUUAGUUCAUUCUUAUGCUGCAAGUUGUAUUGAGAAACUGUUGCUAGUCAAGGAUGAGGGGGGAAGAUCUAGGUAUACUGCAAAUGACGUUGCUCCAUUUUUUGUUGAGCUGAUGACCAACCUAUUUAAUGCCUUCAAAUUUCCAGAGUCCGAGGAGAAUCAAUAUAUAAUGAAGUGUAUCAUGCGGGUUCUUGGGGUAGUAGAAAUACACCUAUUGUGAUGUGUGUUAUUCUUGCAUCAAUCCGUGGGACUGUGAUGGAGCUUGGAAAACACCUAUUGUGACUUCUGGGCUAGUGAUGCAACUCUUGGCUGGGUCCAAGUUCAUUGAAGUGGACAACAAUUUCUGCGAGGAAGAGUCAGGGUUUUGAAUAAGAUACCUCUGAAUCUACUGAAAGACUGCAACGUUCUGCAGAAUAUCUCCCUGCAUGGCAAUCCUAUUUCUACGGAUCAAUUUCAGCAGAUGGAAGGAUUUCAAGAUUUUGAAGCAAGAAGAAAGAAGAAGUUUGACAAGCAAAUUGAUUCAAAUGUGAUGAUUGGGUCAAAAGGCCUCGAUGAGGGUGUUGAUCUAUGAAUGUCUUACAUCAGUGCUCCCUAAAAGAACUAGAGGGCAGGGUUUGAUCAGCUGGGGCCAUUUGAACGCAAAGGGCAGCCAUAAAUUCAAAAACAGCUUUCAUUGUAGCUUGGGAUAGACAAAUUUGGUAUAUACUCUUUUUAGGUCACAUGUGAAAUAAUGUCUCCAAACUCAGUUUUAUCAUAUUUGUAAAUGAGGGCCUGGCUUUGUA
Molecule: long non-coding RNA, 1391 nt
Organism: Quercus lobata
Lineage: Eukaryota; Viridiplantae; Streptophyta; Magnoliopsida; Fagales; Fagaceae
Exons: 4
Source: RefSeq, a predicted model, not a curated record